Molecule: ribosomal RNA, 253 nt
Filed under: uncultured bacterium
Lineage: Bacteria
Description: partial 16S ribosomal RNA
Rfam family: Bacterial small subunit ribosomal RNA
Source: RNAcentral
UACGGAUGGUGCAAGCAUUAAUCGGAAUUAUUGGGCGUAAAGGGCGCGUAGGCGGAAGAGUAUGUCAAAUGUGAAAUCCCAAGGCUCAACCUUGGACCUGCAUUUGAAACUGCUUUUCUGGAGGGUAGGCGGAGAAAACGGAAUUCCACGUGUAGCGGUGAAAUGCGUAGAUAUGUGGAAGAACACCAGUGGCGAAGGCGGUUUUCUAGCUUACUCCUGACGCUGAGGCGCGAAAGCAAGGGGAGCAAACAGG